GUGGGGAAUAUUGGACAAUGGGCGAAAGCCUGAUCCAGCCAUGCCGCGUGUGUGAAGAAGGUCUUCGGAUUGUAAAGCACUUUAAGUUGGGAGGAAGGGCAGUAAGUUAAUACCUUGCUGUUUUGACGUUACCGACAGAAUAAGCACCGGCUAACUUCGUGCCAGCAGCCGCGGUAAUACGAAGGGUGCAAGCGUUAAUCGGAAUUACUGGGCGUAAAGCGCGCGUAGGUGGUUUUGUAAGUUGGAGGUGAAAUCCCCGGGCUCAACCUGGGAACUGCCUCCAAAACUGCAGGACUAGAGUACGGUAGAGGGUAGUGGAAUUUCCUGUGUAGCGGUGAAAUGCGUAGAUAUAGGAAGGAACACCAGUGGCGAAGGCGACUACCUGGACUGAUACUGACACUGAGGUGCGAAAGCGUGGGGAGCAAACAGGAUUAGAAACCCUAGUAGUCC
RNAcentral lists this ribosomal RNA (450 nucleotides) under uncultured bacterium. Its description in RNAcentral is "bacterial SSU rRNA". It matches the Rfam family "Bacterial small subunit ribosomal RNA", at positions 354 to 796 of the family's 1533-position model. The record is from RNAcentral.